GCGCGGCCCACCAUGCAGUCGAGCGGAUGAAGGGAGCUGGCUCCUGGAUUCAGCGGCGGACGGGUGAGUAAUGGCUAGGAAUCUGCCUGGUAGUGGGGGAUAACGACCGGAAACGGGCGCUAAUACCGCAUACGUCCUGAGGGAGAAAGUGGGGGAUCUUCGGACCUCACGCUAUCAGAUGAGCCUAGGUCGGAUUAGCUAGUUGGUGGGGUAAAGGCCUACCAAGGCGACGAUCCGUAACUGGUCUGAGAGGAUGAUCAGUCACACUGGAACUGAGACACGGUCCAGACUCCUACGGGAGGCAGCAGUGGGGAAUAUUGGACAAUGGGCGAAAGCCUGAUCCAGCCAUGCCGCGGGUGUGAAGAAGGUCUUCGGAUUGUAAAGCACUUUAAGUUGGGAGGAAGGGCAGUAAGUUAAUACCUUGCUGUUUUUGACGUUACCAACAGAAUAGGCACCGGCUAACUUCGUGCCAGCAGCCGCGGUAAUACGAAGGGUGCAAGCGUUAAUCGGAAUUACUGGGCGUAAAGCGCGCGUAGGUGGUUCAGCAAGUUGGAUGUGAAAUCCCCGGGCUCAACCUGGGAACUGCAUCCAAAACUACUGAGCUAGAGUACGGUAGAGGGUGGUGGAAUUUCCUGUGUAGCGGUGAAAUGCGUAGAUAUAGGAAGGAACACCAGUGGCUAAGGCGACCACCUGGACUGAUACUGACACUGAGGUGCGAAAGCGUGGGGAGCAAACAGGAUUAGAUACCC
RNAcentral lists this ribosomal RNA (749 nucleotides) under Pseudomonas aeruginosa. RNAcentral describes it as "bacterial SSU rRNA". It matches the Rfam family "Bacterial small subunit ribosomal RNA", at positions 42 to 787 of the family's 1533-position model. The record is from RNAcentral. Lineage: Bacteria; Pseudomonadati; Pseudomonadota; Gammaproteobacteria; Pseudomonadales; Pseudomonadaceae.